Molecule: long non-coding RNA, 25588 nt
Filed under: Capsicum annuum
Lineage: Eukaryota; Viridiplantae; Streptophyta; Magnoliopsida; Solanales; Solanaceae
Description: long non-coding RNA (CANN_LNC003580)
Source: RNAcentral
UUACGAACCAAACUUGGCAACUCAAUGUCCUGCUCGUUAGUUGCUGCUGUGGAGAACAUGGACAAGAUAUUUCCAAUGGUAUUUCGGGGUAGACGAGGUUUGAUCAUUGUACGUAUGUUUAAGAAGUGAACCAACUUUGAUGGUAGCAUUGAUGAUGAUGCCUUUGUUGCACAUUUGAAAAGAAGAGCGCUAACAACUUCUGCCCUUGUUGGAUUUUCUACUCCUGAUUCUACUGCCACCUUCAAACCCAAAUUAAUGUCAACCAAACUAAAUUUAUUUUAAAAUAAUUAGUACUCCUUGUCAUUUCAGAAAAACUACAAGUAUUUAUUACUGCAUUCUUUUAUAUUUUCCACUUUACUGUUCGAUAAUUAAGUGGAGUGUUAUUAAGUAAAGGACAUGUCCAAGAGUAGCCUUGACUCCAAUAAGUGAAGUGCUAUUAACUAAGUGAGGCGUUUAAGAGUAGUCUCUACAAAUAGACUAAUAGCCCAGGCUUGUUAACAUGUCGAAUUGAGGACCUCUGCCUGCUGCAUGUGGUAUCAUGCAUGUUGGAAGUAUAUGAUCAUCUCAUUUAAAAGAUUAAAAUGUUAUAAAAAACACGUGUUUUUUUUCUUGAUUAUUAUAUCUCAACAAGACUAUUAAACGUUUUUCUUUUCAAAAAUACCAUUAGACAAACAAAAAUGAACGACUAAUGGUAGUGUUAAUACCAAAAAUACCGGAAGACAAAUUAAAAUCUUACGCAUAUUUAAGGCAACGCAUGAAUCCUAAAAAACUUCCGUUCUAUCUAAAACCCAGUGUCAAAUCAAACCAUUCUUCCAUACAAAUUUAAUUUGGUGGAUUAUUAUAUUUCAAAAAUGUAUUGCAAAAGAAAAUCUUAAAAGACUGACAAUAAUGGAGUGAUGGUAGUCUUACCUUAGCUCGAAGUGCAUCUAACUUGUCUGUAGGAAAAAUGAAUCUUUUCUGUACGCAUUCACUAAGAUCGGACACUAUUUGUGGCGUAAUAAGAGGGCCAUAUUUUUGUGUAGAGAAAAUUGAAUCUCCUAUAAACCUAGGAGAAGGAAUUAGAGUCGUUGUCGUCAUAUGAUCACGAGUAACGCUAGACCAAUCAUUAAGGAAAUUAAGUAGAGAGCAACCAUCACCGAUCUUGUGUGAAAAGCAUAUACUAAUGGCUAUUCCUCCACAAUCAAACUUACUUACUUGAACUACAAGCAAAUUACCACCUUCAUAAUUAUUUGCCCAAGGCAAAUCCUUGGGAAAAACUAUGCCCUCUGCAUGAGCAGCACGAGGAUGAUCAAGAAUUUCAGACAUGGAACAUUUUAUUCGAACACUCAAGAACUCAGCUCCCAUAUCGUUACAAUCAACAGUAGCGUUAUCUCUCAAUUUUCCAGCGUAAGGAUAGUAAGAGACUAGAGUUUGUGAUAGAGAUGUUUGUAGCAAGUGGGCUAUCUGGGAAAGCUCAUCAGAAUUUUUGGACUCUUGUCUUUGUUGUACUUUAGGGUAAAAAAAUGCAAAAGGGAUAUACAUAUUACUGAGGGAUUGAUCCACAAAGGAUAGCUUGUGAAAUCUCUGUGUAGAAGGGGUAAGAGAGGAAGGUUUGAUAAAAGAUUUGUCAAAAACUGAAACAAGUGAUGAUGGUAAUGCAAAAGCCAUAAUUAAUUUAACAAAUAUAUGCAAUAUAUGCUGCUGUUUGACAUUUUCUUGCAUAUAUGGAUACACUUCUAUAGACAAAAGGAAAUGAAAUAAUAGAGUUAAUGGCUAAACAACCCCUACCCAACCCCCAAACUAUAGGUUAUUUAUUACUAAACUUUACCUUAUUUUUGUCACCCCUUGAUUUUUUUUUCCCUCCGGUGUCCCGGUGCCUGCAUUGGAGCCUCGACUAGUUCGGAUCGUGCGUUGCAGGGCCCAUUAAGGUGACAACGCUCCCAACUUAAUUUUCUCCAUACCCAGGGUCGAACCCUCGACCUCUGGUCAAGGGUGAAGCAGCCCUAUCUGCUGCACCACAACCCAUGUUGGUAUCACCCCUUGAUAUUCAACUUAUAGAAGGCUGGUUGCACUGCGGCGUUGUUGUCAGCAUGGAGACGGUUAAGAGGAAAUUAGUAAAUACUAGUAAUAUAUUGCGUCUUACAAUAAUAUUAUUCCUAUUAUAUGUAAUGCAUGUAACUAGUUUCACCGGACGCGCAUUGCACGUGUUUUAAAUUAUGUUAGUACACAAUUUGAUACAUAAUAUUAAUAUGUUUAAAACAAAUAUUUGGGCAAAUAGUAGUAUCAACAUCACACCUAGAAGAAGAUGAAAAUGUACAAAUCCUAAUCUCUUCCCACAAAAUGAACAAACCUCGCAUUUAUGACAGAUGAAGUUUAAGAGGAAGCAGCAAGAUAAAGCGUACUACCAAAAAGAAAACAAAACACUACAAAUAGAGAACGAAAUUUAAUCUUCUAAUACUACGCGGACAUAUAUUAUCUUCUGAUACAACACAAAGUAAAGUUUCUUUGGAAUUAAAAUUAUUCUUUUGCCAAAAAAAAGAAGAAGAAGAAGAAAUCACUACACUAAGUGGAAAUAGAAAAUCUAAUUCGACUCACGCAAAUUUAGGUACGUGCGGGCUUAGUAUGAUUCAAAAUCCUAAUUGUUGAAAAAAGUCUUAAUAAAAAAUUACCAUUCUAUUCAAUACUAAAUAAUAUUUAAUGGAAAUAAAUAAUUGGAUUACUUUAUUUAUUAGGUUACUUCUAACCAGCUAAAAUACCUCCCACCUAUAAUAAAUGUAGGUUACUGAUAUUAAUACAUAACAUAAAAUGAACAACUAAACCUACGGCACCUAAAAUAGACUCCAAAGCCUACCAAAUAUAUUCAAUUGAGAAUAUUGUAUAAAAAUUUAAAAAAAUAGUAAAAAAAUAAUUUUGUUUAAGGCGAAAAUUUUUAAUAAAGGACAAAAAAGUUCAGAUAAUAUUUCUAACGUCUUUCACAUUUUUAAUAUAUUAGAAAUAGAGAUAGAGAUUAUAGAUUAGAAAUUAGAGAUUGAAAUCAGAGAUUAAAGAUUACAAAUAAAAAUAUAGAUUAGAGAUUAAAGAUAGGAAUUAGGAGAUUACAUAUAAAAAUUAGAAAUCAAGUUAUUUUAUUUUAUUUGCAGAAAAAAAAAAUAGGGGAGAGUCGACGUGUGAGAAAGAAGAAGAAUGAGCAGGAUUAGGAUCAAUGGGUCGAGUAAUAGUAAAAGAUGUAACUUUAACCUCAUCAUCUUACCUCAAUAGAUAAUUUAGCUAUACAAAUAAAUAUCCUUUGGCCAAUUGUAGCUGAGGUUGAGAUGUGGGGGUAACCAUACCGCCGUAAUUGCCAAAUUAAAAUUGCAUGCAACAUAUAUAUACGUUUAUGUGGGGGGGCAAUACAGCCGUAAUUGACCAAUUUGUUUGACUAGAAUCCAUUUUUGGCUCUUUCCUAAUUAAUGAAAGCUAUCUAUUUAUAUUGUGCACGACACAGUGGCAAGAGAAGCAGCGGACAAUCUAAGAAGAAAAUAAUAUGGGUGGAAAAUUAGAGAUUGUUAAAAAUAGCAUAGAUCUUCAUCAUUCAAAUUUAUAAUUAUUAGAAGAAGAAAAAAAAAUCUCAUAUAUGUGAUGAAUGCGAUGUAUGAUUAAUUUAUAAGGUUUGAACAAUCUUUUUUUUUAUUUGAAUUAAUUUUUGAAAUGUGAAUUAGAAAAAGACACUGUGGAGGAGAUCGUAACUCUUACUUCAUUCUGAAGUUUCACAAGUGAAACUCUAAUAUAUCAUUGGUAAUUUAGGUUCUUCUAAUUGUGAUUCUCUUCUGAUAAAGAUGAAGGAUAUGAACAAAUGGGGAACUCCGAAUCAAAAUAAGCCACAAAAUAAAAUAAAAAUAAUUAAAAUAGGUCACUUAUUUAAAAAGUUAUCAAAAUAGACUAAAUAUAAGAAAUUAUUACGUUUUUCACUUUUUUCUUAACGGUCAACACGGUUUAUAAACGUAAUAAUUUAUUACGUUUUGCACAAAAAAUAAUGUGCCGUCACAUCUUCUUUAUGUCAAAUCAUGUAGUUUGUAAUAACUUAUUACAUUUUACAAACAGUGUUUAUAAAACAUAAUAAUUUAUUACAAACUACAAACAGUGUUUGUAAGUUGUAAUAAAUUAUUACAACUUACAUCUAACCGCAUCACAUCACAUUUGCUUUUUCCACUUUUAAAUUUAACUCACUCCACCCCACUUUUAAAUGUAACCUACCCCACCCCUUGUAGAACCCUCUCACACCACCCCUAACCCACCCAACCACCCCUGCCCUUGCCCCUGCCCUUGCCCUUUUUUUUAUUUUUUUAUUUUUGUAUUAAGACUUUGUUCUCUUCCUUUUCAAGUUUAAGUUGUUAGUAAAAAAUUAAGGUAGCUAGUGUCCAUUUUUUGGAUUCAUACUAAGUUCCACUACUAAACUUCAUUUGAAGAAUCUCCAUCGAUCCCCCACUCCCCUUUACUUAGUUCUUUUAUUUUUUUUUGUGUGUUAAAAAUAUGAAAUUAAUUUUUUCGAUUAAUGUUUCAUAUUAGUUUCUGAUUAGUGUUUUGAUUAAGAUUUUGAGAAAACUUACACGGACAAAUACAUUUUUUAUUAUAAUUAAUAAAGUAAGAAGUCGCAAUUUAAGUUACGGGUGUAUAAAAAUUGAACCGAUAAAAAUAUUAUUGAUUUAUCUUUAUUGGUUAAUGAUUUUUUAAUGAUUUUAUAAAAAAAUUGGGUUAUUGAUUCAAUUUUGAUUUUUUUAUUGGGUUAUUGGGUAAAUCGAUAACCGAUUAAGAUUAUACGAAAUUAUUAUUUACACCCUCCAUAUAUAUAUAAAUAUAUACUAGAAGUGCAAGGCCCAUGUCAGCACGGUCCCAACAAUAGAACAUGUGAUUUGCAAUUUUUAAGUUUUAGGAUUUAUGUUAAAAUAAGAAGUUCGAGCGGUAGAAUGUUUUCAUUAGUACGAUUGAGCUCAGGGGAUCACAAGCUUGUGUCAGUAUGGGCUCAAUAUUAAGAUAUUUUAAUUAUGUACGAUAAGUUAGAUUGAUGUCAAUUUGAAUUAUAAAACAUGAAUAUACAAAACAUAUUAACUACUUGAUAGUAUUUUUGAAGGAGCCAAAUUAUUUCACAAGAUAAUCAUGUAUAACUUACUUAUAUAAAUAACACAAUUCUACGCAUUUUGAAGUUAAGAUCUUUAAUCAUAUUACUGAAAUUUGUUACAUUAAGUAUAAAAUAUGAGAUUAAAAUUACUACAUAAGACUUGACACUUGUUGUAUAAAAUAGAGAAUAAUUGUUGAAAAAGAUAAAUGGUUAUCUACUCAUUGCAUAUUACAUCACAUGUGAGUUGUAAUAAUAGGUUAAUUAAAAUUGUAUUCCCCCACUAAGCUGACAUAAACGUCCUUUGCUUUCAUUUCUGCUCUUUUUUUUAUUUGUCAACUUGUUAUUUGAAGUUAAAAUUAAUUUAAUAUUUUAAAUUUAAAUUUUAAGUGUUUUGAAAAUUAUAUAUAUAAAAAAAUAAACUAUAAUUUACCAUCUGUCAUAUUAAUUUAAGUCAUUUGACUUUGAGAACAGAUAAAAAAUACUUCAAUAAAUGUUUUAUCGAACUUUGCUUUUGUAUAUGUUGUUUCCAUUGAAACGUAGGAGUCAUUUGUUAGAGUAAAAAUAAUUUUGAAUAGAAUAUAUUAGUAAUGUUUACAUUAUUAAUAUUUGUAUUAGUAAUGUUGGUAUUAUUUGUACUAAUAUUAUUUCUUAUACACUAUUUGAUGUGUUGUAUUAAACUUGUCUUUUCAAUCUUGAUAUAUUUAAACAAAAAAAAAAACUAAAAGAAGAUUGCAUAUACAUUCUAAAAUUUAUCCGAAAUUUAGCACGGGUUCAAUAUAUGCAAUUUGUUUCUCAAUUUAUAUGACGCAAAUAGAAUUAGGAUAAUCAAUCACACUUUUAAUAUGUAUUUAGAUAAUUUAAGUUAUUAACUACUAUAAUUUAUAAUAUUUUUUAUUUAAUUUUUAAAUAAUAUACAUUACUUUUCUUGUCCAAACUUUUGUGAUAUUGAUAGUCAAUUAUAUUUAUAAAAUAAUUUAAGUUUUAAAUUUUUGUGAUUUAUAAUACUUUUCUUCUAUUAUAUUUAAGUGACACUAAUAUAACUUCGAGAAUCAACCGAAUAUUUUAUAUUUUUUAAAAAAAAUUAAGUUGUUAAUUAUUGUGAUUUAUAAUUUUUUAUAUAUUUUUUUGAAAUAUAUAACAAAUUAAGUUAUUUUUAGAUCUUUUAAGUUGUUAAUUAUUGUAAUUUAUAAUACUUUUUAUGUAAUUUUUGAAUAAGAUAUGUUACUCUCCUUGUCCAGAGUUUUGCGUCAUUGAUAGCCAAUUAUAUUUUUUUAGAUAAUUUAAAUUUUUAAUUAUUGUGCUUUAUAAUAUUUCUUCUAUUCAAAUUUAAGUGACACAAUGCUUCAUAGAUGUCUUAAAUGACUUACAGCGACUAAUUAGAAGUGACAAAGCAAAAUUACUAUAAAAAUACCUGUGAAAAAAUUUAAGUGGAUCUCAUAUAAGAUGUCAAGUUAAUUUAAAACAUCAAGAGUUAAUUUUUCACUUUUCUAUCUAUUUUAUCAUUUUUUAAAAUAUUAUUAAUUUUUAAUACAUAAAUAACUUAUAAUAAUUAAUUAGAAGUGAUAUAGCAAAAUCAUGAUUGAAGCAGCUGAAGCAGACAUGUCAAUAUGUCAUAACUAUUUAUUUUAUAUUUUAUAAUAAAUAUUAUUAAUUUUUAAUACAUAAAUGACUUAUAAUAAUUAAUUAGGGAUAAUAUAAUAAAAUCACGAAUUGAAUAUUAUUAAAUUUUCAAUAUAAAAAUGACUUAUAAUAAUUUAUUAAAGGCGAUAUAGUAAAAGUAUGAUUGAAGCAUACAUGUCAUAAAUGUCUAUUUUAUUUUUUAAUAUUAAUUUUUUAAUAUAUAACUGGCUUAUAAUAAUUAAUUAGGGGUGAUAUAGGAAUGUUGGUGAAUUUCUAAAAAUCAAAAAACACUAAUUAUUAGGUUUAUUUAGUUAAAAUCAUAAUUCAGUAGGUUUUAGAUAAAUCGAGAAAACUAUCGAAUUAAUCAAAUAAGUUAUAUGAGUAAAACAUUUUAUAUAUUAAGUUUUUUAAAAAUGAAAUAUUAAAAUUUUGGCUUUUAGUUUGAGGUGAUUAAAAUAACUACAAUCUAAUAAAUAAUUAAUGCUCAAAGUUUUAAUUAAAAAAUCAAUUAACUUGUAGGUAUAGUAUGCUUAACUCAAUAUAGAUAAUAUCAUUUUCAUAUACAAAAAUAACCAAUUAUUAUUAUUUCAUAACAAAUUAUGUUUAACCUUAUAUAAGUAAAAUCUUGUUACAUAUUUUUCUUUAGUUUCUUUUUGUUGGUAUAUAUUGACUUGGCACGAAUUUAAAAAAAAAUUUUAUUAAAAAUUUAUUUUACUAAAUUAGCUUUAUUAAUUUUACAUUAAAAAUUUAAAUUAGGCAAACUUGUAUUUAAUGAAACAAAUAAGGAAGAAAGCAAAUUAUAUGUUUGACAUGAAACGUAAAUAAAGAAUAAAAUGUAUUUAAUUAUAUUUAUCAUAUUAAUUAUUACAAUAAAUUAUUAUCUUAUUAAUCAAUUUACUUUAAUAUAAUAUAUUUCAAACAAUUUUUUAUAUAUAUAACCUAAAUAAAAGUAGCAUGUAGGUACUCACCUUCAUCCUAAAUACAAUGAGAAAUACAAUUUUUAUAGAAUAAUUAUCUCUUUUUAGGAAAAAAAGAUAAAUAAAAUAAAAAAUAGACGAUAGAUAUAGGGCCUGCUUGUGAAAAGGAAUGCAAGGCUAAAGAGCCACCGGUAGUGGCAUUAUGGUUAAUUUCUUAAAUUGCAUUAUCUGUAAAUAAUGAGAAAAUAAUGGACUUUAUUUAAAAAAAUUUGAUAGGUUCAUCAAAAGAAGAACAAAAGAUUUUCAAUCUUAGCUUAUAAUUUUCUUUAAAGACCUUAAUACCCUUAACUUUGAAUUUAAUGUCAAAUAGGAGAUUAUUAAUCAAUUUACUUUAAUAUAAUAUAUUUCAAACAAUUUUAUAUAUAUACUAGAAGUGCAUGGCCCGUGUCAGCACGGGCCCAACACUAUAGACAUUUUUUAGCACCAAAAUUUGAUAUUGAUGAGGUACAAACAUAAAUGUACAUUUAUUUAAAAUGAUAAUUUUUUAAACAAUAACUAUUUGACGGUACUCGCUAAGAAGUGAAGUUUUAUAAGAUAGUUUUUUCACAUGAUAAGAAAGUGUGAUAUGUCGUGUAGUCGGGCUAUUUUAAUUAUUUGAUGAUAAGAUUGAGACCUGUUACAAAAUAUAGAAAAGGUGUAGAACUAAUAUUCAUGUGAUUAUUUCAUACAAAAAAUGGAACAAAAGAUACUUCAAUUAACAACAAAGUCUUGGAUCAUCUUCUCAAAGGCAAAACACUUAUAAAUACAGAUAUUGAAAUGUUUUGAACCACUACUAAGUUAAAAAAUUCUUAUAGAUGGGUGCAUAAUAUUAUCAGAUCUAGAUAUUCAAAUAUAACAACAGUUAGAAUUGAGGUGGCAGCACGAAAAAUAUUUUCAAGAUUAACUAUUGUGAUUUAUAAUACUUUUUAUGUAAUUUUUAAAUGAUAUAUAUUAUACCCUCUUUCUCAAUUUAUAUGGUAUUGAUACAAUUUUUGAGAGUUAACUAAAUUUUUUACAUAUUUUUAAAAUACUUUAAAUUAUUAAUUAUUGUGAUUUGUAGUGCUUUUUCUUCCGUUCUAAUUUAUGUGACAGUAAUAAAAUUUAGAGAGUCAACCAAAAUUUUUNNNNNNNNNNNNNNNNNNNNNNNNNNNNNNNNNNNNNNNNNNNNNNNNNNNNNNNNNNNNNNNNNNNNNNNNNNNNNNNNNNNNNNNNNNNNNNNNNNNNNNNNNNNNNNNNNNNAUUAAUUUUUUAAUACUUAGAUGAUUAAUUAAGAGCGGUAUUUAGUAAAAUUACAAUUGAAGCAGCUAAAAUAGACAUGUCAUAAAUGUCUAUUUUUUUAAUUAAAUAUUAUUAUUUUUUAAUACAUAAAUGACCUACAAUAAUUAAUUAGGGGUGAUACAGUAAAAUCAAAGAUGAAGGACGGCAACUUAAUUUUAAGCAUCAAGAGUUAAUUUAUCAUUUGUCGAUUUUAUUAUUUUAUUAAAUAUUAUUAGUUUUUUAAUACUUAGAUGACUCAUCAUAAUUAAUUAGGAGCGAUAUUUAGUAAAAUUAUGGUUGAAGCAGCUGCAACAAACAUGUCAUAAACGCAUAUUUUUCUUGUUUUAAUUAAAUGUUAUUAAUAUGCUAAUACACAAAUGACUUAUAAUAAUUAAUUAGGGGUGAUAUAGUAAAAUCAUGGCGCAGCUCUUGAAGCAGUCAUGUCGAAACCAAUGUUUUAAUUAAAUAUUAUGAUUUUUUAAAUACAUAAAUGACUUAUAAUAAUUAAUUAGGGGUGGUACGGUAAAAUCACGGUUGAAGGAGGUCAACUUAAUUUAAUACAUCAAAUGUUAAUUUAUCAUUUUAUGUUUAUUUUAUUUUUUUAAUAUUAUUAAAUUUUUAACACUUAGAUGACUCAUAAUAAUUAAUUAUGAGCGAUAUUUAGCAAAAUUAUGGUUGAAGCAGAUGCAUCAAACAUGUCAUCUAUUUUCUUUAAUUAAAUAUUAUUUAUUUUUUAAUACAUAAAUGCCUUAUAAUAAUUAAUUAGAAAUGAUAUAGUAAAAUCACGGUUAAAGCAGCUGAAACAAACAUCAUAAAUAUAUUUUUUUAAUUAAAUAUUAUUAAUUCUAAUAUAUAAAUGACUUAUAAUAAUUAAUUAGGGAUAUUAUGAUAAAUUACGGAACAAUUAGGGAUAAUAUAAUAAAUAAUGAAGCAGUUGGUCAAAACCAGCGCUUCUAUUAUAUAGAAAUAUAACUUAAAUAAAAGUAGCAUGUAGGUACUCACCUUCAUUCUAAAUACAAUGAGAAAUACAUUUUUUUAUAGAAUAAUUAUAUCUUUUCAGAAAAAAAAGAUAAAUAAAAAUUAAAAAUAGAUGAUAGAUAGAGGGCCUGCAUGUGAAAAGGAAUGCAAGGCUAGAGAGCCAACUGUAGUGGCAUUAUGGUAAAUUUCUUAAAUGACAUUAUCUGUAAAUAAUGAGAAAAUAAUGGACUUUAUUUUAAAAUUUUUGAUAGGUUCAUCAAAAGAAGCACAAAAGAUUUUCAAUCUCAACUUAUAAUCUUCUUCAAAGACCUUAAUACCCUUAACUUUGAAUUUAAUGUUAAAUAGGAGACAUGUUGAAACCACUCUUUCUAAUAUAUAGAAAAGAAAAGUAGGAUUGAAUGUUGGUUGAAUCUUAAUUGCAACCAACAUCCAAUCCUACUUAUAUAUUUAUAUGGAGGGUGUAAAUAAUAAUUUCGUAUAAUCUUAAUCGGUUAUCGAUUUACCCAAUAACCCAAUAAAAAAAUUAAAAUCGAAUCAAUAACCCAAUAAUUUUCUUAUAAAAUCAUUAAAAAUUCGUUAACCCAAUAAAGAUAAGUCAAUAAUAUUUUUAUUGAUUCGAUUUUUAUACACCCGUAACUUAAAUUGCGAUUUCUUACUUUAUUAAUUAUAAUAAAAAAUGUGUUUGUCCAUGUAAGUUUCCUCACAAUCCUAAUCAAAACGCUAAUCAGAAACUAACAUGAAAAAUUAAUCGAAAAAAAUAAUUUUAUAUUUUUAGCACACACAUUAAAAAAAAACUAAGUAAAGGGGAGUGGGUGACCGAUGGAAAUUCUUCAAAUGAAGUUUAGUAGUGGAGCUUAGUAUGGAUCCAAAAAUGGACACUAGCUACCUUAAUUUUUUACUAACAACUUAAACUUGAAAAGGAAGAAAACAAANNNNNNNNNNNNNNNNNNNNNNNNNNNNNNNNNNNNNNNNNNNNNNNNNNNNNNNNNNNNNNNNNNNNNNNNNNNNNNNNNGGUGGGGUGAGAGGGUUCUACAAGGGGUGGGGUGAGUUAAAUUUAAAAAUGGAAAAAGUAAAAGUGAUGUGAUGUGGUCAGAUGUAAGUUGUAAUGAUUUAUUACAACUUGCAAACAUUGUUUGUAGUUUGUAAUAAAUUAUUACGUUUUACAAACACUGUUUGUAAAACGUAAUAAAUUAUUAUAAACUAUAUGAUUUGACAUAAAGAAGAUGUAACAACACAUUGUUUUUUGGUUUUGGUUUUUUGUGCAAAACGUAAUAAAUUAUUACGUUUUACAAAUCGUGUUGACCGUUAGUUGAUCGUUAAGAAAAAAGUGAAAAACGUAAUAAUUUAUUACAUUCAGCCUAUUUUGAUAACUUUUUAAAUAGGUAGCCUAUUUUGGUCACUUUUUUUAUUUUGUGGUUUGUUUUGGUUCCGAGUUCACAAAUGGGAAUUAACUAAUUAGUCAUAAUAAGGUAAUUAAGUAGAUAAUAUCAUUGUUGCUACCAUGAAUUGAACUGUUAGAUUAAUGUUGAUUUUUUAAAAAAAAAAAAAUGGGGCAGCAGAAAUGAGUUAAAAUGACUGUCUUUGGAUUGAAAUGACUUUCUAAGCUUUUAACAACUUUCAAUAAUUUUACUAAGCAUGAGACGACUUUAAAUAGCCAAUUUGAAAAAUCAAAUCUGUAUAAUUUAAAAUUAAAAAACCUAAACUAUCUCAACAAAGUAAUCUCUAUCUAAGACAAAUUUCAAAGGCAAAUUUAUCCUAAAAAUUAGGAACUUAUUAUACUAAAAAAGUUACUGCAGUAACUAAAGUAAAAUUCAACACUUCUCCUUUACUUUAGUUACUGCAAUUUUAAAAGAUUGCUCCUGCUCAAUUUUUGUUCCCGUAGUUGAUGCACUUUUUCUUUUAGAUAUUGAUCUUUCUCUUCUUUCUUUUGAUUCUUUGAUGAAAAAAUACCACCGACAAUCUUGUCUUGUUUGGAAGUACCUUCAUAGGCGUUGCACACUGUUGUAAGGAUUUUUCACCCAUCAUAACAUCACAAAAAGGAUAGAUUUCAAGAUAUGAUUGUCACAGACCAAAUUUGAUAUUUUUUAUCAGUAAAAAUUUUUGGGGCAUUCAAAAAGAGACGGUUGCUUGACAUCUUUUUGAUUGAAAAUAGCCCUACCUUUGAAAAUAAGCAUGGAUUGAAAAUGAUAGCCCUAACGGGUUAAAAUGAAUAGCCCCGAUGGGUUAAAAAAAUAGCCUGUUAAUGGUAUGGUAGAAUUUUGGAAGAACUCACAGAUCCCGUAAGAUAAUGAGGCUCUUGAUACCACUGUUGAUUUUUUUUUUGUUUAAAUGAAGCAGCAAAAGGGGGUUAAAAUGACUCUUUUUGAAUAACUUUUAAUACGCUUUUAACAGCUUUCAAUAAUUUUAUUAAUCAUAGAGGAUUUUAAAUAUCCAACUUGAAACAACAAAUUUGCAUAAUUUGAAAUUCAAAAAUCUAAACUACCUCAACAAAUUAAUCUAUAUCUAAUUCAAAUUUAUCCUAAAAAUUAAGAACUUAUUAUACUAAAAAAAGUUAUUGCAGUAACUAAAAUAAACUUCAACAAUUAAUUCAUUAUUCAUCUAUGCUUAUGGAUCCCUUAGGGUGUGUUUGGUAUGAUGGAAAAUGUUUUCUGAAAACUAUUUUCUUAUUUUCUCUUAUUUGGUUGUAGUUAAAUGUUGGAAAAAUGUUUUUCAUAACAACUCAUUUUCCUCCAUUUGAGGGAAAAUGAUUUUCCUCAUGGACCAAGGGAAGUCAUUUUUUGGAAAAUGACAAAUGUGACUUAUGCCCCCACCCCCACCCCAUCAACACUAAUAUUAACAUUUUUUAAUAAAUUCACAUUACUCGAAAAUAUUUUUCACUGUGCUUUGCUUCAAUUUUUCACUGCUCAAAAUAAAAAAUAGUGAAGCCCGAUUUUUUUUCUUUUUCAAUAUUCGUUGAAUGUAUUGUCAUUUCCAUAUGUAUAGAGGAAUUGUCAUUUCCAUAUGUAUAGAGGAAGACUUACCUAUGCUACUUUUGCUAAUUGCAUAUUUCAUUUUUCCAUCGAUGUAGCUUAUUUCACAAGGUUGAAUAAGCUUGUCGUUCCGUUGUAUUUCUAUUGAUUGUAGUAUCUUGAAAUUGUCCUAAUAAAAUGUUGAAAAAUGUCUCUUAUAUUUGCUAAUUAGUAGUUGAUUAAAUUUAGUGAUUGUAAUAUUUUAGUAUUCGAUAUUGAUAUUAUUUGCUAUACUUAAAUUAGUUCUUACAAAUUGUUGAGUUGCUAGAGACACUAAUAUACUAGUUAACAGUUAGUAGUGUUUUCUAAAACAUAUUUUUUCACUCACCGAUCAAACACUAGAAAAUAUAAAAAAUAUUUUUUACUCACCAACCAAACACUAUAAAAUAUUUCUAGAAAAUAUUUUUCACUCGUCAACCAAACAUGAGAAAAUAAGUAAAAAACCAACUUAUUUUUCAGAAAAACUUUUUUCAGGAAAAUAUUUUGAAUGAAAAAUAUUUUCCAUCCUACCAAACACACCCUUAGUCAAACAUUAUUUGUCGUUUUCACUCUUAGAAAUAGAUUUCACAUUAACAAAAUUAUUGUUAAAUUAUUUUUCGAUAUAUAUAUAUAUUGUAUAAGAGGUGUUUAUAUAUUUUUAUAUGUUGUUAUUAUUACCUUAUUAUAUAAGAAUCAAUUUGGUCUACAAGCAAGCACCUCUUCCUCAACAUGAUGGGAGCAAUUUAGUCAUUUCAAGAGCUACUUUAAAUGAAUUGAUAUUUGCUAGCCACGUGUAACCUUUUGUUGAAUUUUUGGACCCCACACUUUAUUUUAAUUUUUUUUGUCUACUAAAUUACUCUUACAACUCAUGAACAUUUUUGGGAUUGGAAAAGAAAAACUCAAUAGUGAGAUAAAUGACCUCUUAGCUUUACAUUCUUAUAUUUUCGUACAACAAAUAUUAUGAUAACUUUCUCACAUUAAAACAUUUUAUAAUCAAACUUAAAGUUUACCAAGCUAAUUAGAUGUGGCUAAUGGAUAUAUAUAUUGAACAAGAAGGAAAUACCGCUACUCAAAAAAUAAAAAAUAUGUAAUAUUAACUUUUGUAUCGACUACUUUCUUCGGAUUAAUCAAUAUAUAUAGGGCAAAGUUACAAAUAUACCCUUGAACUUUGAUAAAUAGUAUAAAUAUACCUUCCGUCAUACUUUGGAUACAAAUAUACCCUUGUUGUUAAUGAAAAGGUACAAAUAUACCCUUAUCACUAACGGCGGGACACGUGUCACGAUCGUAUUCCUCCACUAGUGAUAAAGAUAUAUUUGUACCAUUUAUCCAAGUUCGAGGGUAUAUUUGUACCUUUUCCAAUUUUAUAAUUUACUUUCUCUGUUCCAUAUUAGUUGAUCAUUUUGCUAAAAAUAACUACUUUAUAUUAAUUGUCCAUUAUACUAAAUCAAAAAAACAUUAAUUAAAUUUAAAUUAUAUUAUCCUUGUAGUUAAUUUAUUCUGAAAGUCUUCACAGUUGUUUAUAAAGUUUUCAAGAUUUUUUUUAUAGUGUGAAUUCGUAAAAGAAAAACUUACCAAAAUAUACUAUAUUUAAAAACUUUUACCAUUUAUAGCUGUAUAAUUUUAAUAUAUGCAUAAUCUUACAAUCUAAUUAGAGGGAAAGGCUACGGAAGCAGGCAACUCUCCGUCAGCAAGCCUGCUACUCCUGCUUGCUUCAUCAGCUACUUGCUUCAUGAUUUUACUAUAUUAUCUCUAAUUAAUUAUUACAAGUCAUUUAUAUAUUAAAAAAUUAAUAAUAUUUAAUAAAAAAUCAAUUAUAUAUAUAUUUUUAAUAUAUAUAUAUAUAUAUAUAUAUAUAUAUAUAUAUAUAAUUUUACAAAGAUUAAUUAAUUUGAUAAAUUAAUAAAAGUAAUAACUAACUAUUCUUUGAUGACAAUAUUUUCACUUCAAACAUGAGUCUGUUUUUAUAAAAUGGGACGAAUAGAGUACUCUUGUAAGGACAUGCAAAAAAUAAACAUGAUAAAUAAAUGGAUCGAAUUGAGUAAUAAUUAUUUUUAAUAAAAUGAUCAAUUAAUAUGGAACGGAGAAAGUAAAUUAUAAAACUGAAAAAGGAACAAAUAUACCCUCGAACUUUGAUAAAUGGUACAAAUAUACCCUUAUCACUAAUGGAGGAAUACGAUCGUGACACCGCCGUUAGUGAUAAGGAUAUAUUUGUACCUUUUCAUUAACGAUAAGGAUAUAUUUGUACUCAAAGUAUGACGGAGGAUAUAUUUGUACCAUUUAUCAAAAUUUGAAGGUAUAUUUGUACUUUUUUCUAUAAAAUUAUGAAACAAGUAGCUGAUGAAGUAGACACGAGUAGUAGGCUUGCUGAUGGAGAGUUGCCUGCUUCCGUGGCCUUUCCCUCUUAUUAGAUAGUAAGAUUAUGCGUAUAUUAAAAUUAUACAGCUAUAAAUGGUAAAAAAAAUUAAAUAUAGUAUAUUUUGGUAAAUUUUUCUUUUAUGAAUUCACACCAUAAAAAAUUUCUUGAAAAUUUUAUAAACAAAUGUGAAGACUUUCAGAAUGAAUUAACUAUAAGGAUAAUAUAAUUUAAAUUUAAUCAUUAUUUUUUUGAUUUAGUAUAAUGGAUAAUUAAUAUAAAAUAAUUAUAUUUAACAAAAUGAUUAACUAAUAUGGAACGGAGAAAGUAAAUUAUAAAAUUGAAAAAGGUACAAAUAUACCCUCGAACUUUGAUAAAUGGUACAAAUAUACCCUUAUCACUAAUGGAGGAACACNNNNNNNNNNNNNNNNNNNNNNNNNNNNNNNNNNNNNNNNNNNNNNNNNNNNNNNNNNNNNNNNNNNNNNNNNNNNNNNNNNNNNNNNNNNNNNNNNNNNNNNNNNNNNNNNNNNNNNNNNNNNNNNNNNNNNNNNNNNNNNNNNNNNNNNNNNNNNNNNNNNNNNNNNNNNNNNNNNNNNNNNNNNNNNNNNNNNNNNNNNNNNNNNNNNNNNNNNNNNNNNNNNNNNNNNNNNNNNNNNNNNNNNNNNNNNNNNNNNNNNNNNNNNNNNNNNNNNNNNNNNNNNNNNNNNNNNUAUAUAUAAAGGAGAAAUAUGACUUUGUUGACGUGGCGCUCUCUAAGGCUUUGAAUCUUAUUUAUCUUUUUUGUAGUUUUUUAAAACUUUUUAAUUCAUUUUGCAAGCUAAAAAAAUUAAUAAUUCAUUAUUUUUAUUUACCCACAUUCCUUUCCUACUAAGGCCUCAUUUGUUUGCACUUAAUGGAGGUCUGAAUCUGAAUGGUUCAGACUUUAGACCAUUAAGCGCAUUUGUUUUUUAUUAAGGUUUUAACUCUUAAUAGGUCUGAAUAGGUCUUAAUCAUUCAGAUCUAGAACCAAGCCUUAAUAGGUCUGAAGGGAUAUUCUGGUGUUGGAUAAUAUUCACUACUCUAUUCAUAUUUAGCAGUCACCACCACUAACCACCUCUGCCACUGUCACCAUUAUCAGCUGCCACCCACCACCACCAACCACCUCCACCAUCACAACCACCAUCGACAAAAAAUAGCGCUACCAACCACAAUUGUCAACCGCUACCACACCUACUACCUCUUUUAUUCUAAUUAUAUUCACCGCCACCAUUGCCGUCAACAACACCAUAAUCAGCAGCCACUACCGGUCAAUCCCUACUACCAACCAACUCAUCUAUCACAACUAGCACCACCACUAACUACCACUAAUACAUCACAACCUCUACACAUUCUUUGGUCUCCACCACAAUUGUCACUAGUAACGCCACCUCUAUCACCACUUCAACCAGUACCAUCGCUACAAUUUAUCUCUACUAACAAUCAUCUCCACAAUCACAAAAAAUAACAUCUCCAACUAGUACCAAUACAUCGUCAAUCAUAAUGCAUUCAUGUUUCAACCAACACAAUCAACACCUUAAACUACUAACAUCAAGCAACGUCACAUCACAACCACCACCACCAUCAAUCGCCACCAUCAUAACAGUCACUACAAUAACAACAAUCACAAUUAUCACCACCAACAUUAUUAAUCACUAACAUCAAUCAUCGUCACCGCAACCACCAUUAUAAGUCAUCUCCAAUAUCACUAACAAACAUAAAUGUUUUUUCUCAAUCAAAUACUAAUAAUUUUGUUGUAUUAAAUUACAUACUUUUUUAAUAUAUAAUUAAUUUUUUAUUUGAAUUGUAUUUUUUAUUUUAUUAUGUAUACAAAUAAUUUUUUUUUACACAUUCAGAUGUUGAAAAAAUAAAUAGUCUUAAUCAUUCAGUUUUCAAAUCUAAAGACAACAUCUUAAUCAUUCAGAUUUGCAUUCAGAUUCAGACGUUUGAAUCUUAAAAAAAAAAAUGGAGCCUAAUACUCAUUAAUUCAAUCUAUUCAAUAUUUCAAUACAUACAAAUAGAAACAUUAUUUCAUUUCAGUUACACAUUUUUCACCCCUUAUAUUUUACAAUAUUUUCGUAAAUACAUGUUUAUUGUUUUACUAUAAAUACCAACAGAGAUGUUGGCAUGACAACCAGUUUUGUAUUCUUCAUGUCAUGCGAUGAUCGCAACCAGUUUUGCAUUCUUCAUGUUAUGCGAUGAUAUGCUACUGUGCGUCCAAUUUUCAGUGUCUCUUUGGUGAGAUUUUUUUUUCUUUACCAUUUUAUUCUAUUUUUUUAAAUUUAUUUUUUCUUUAGAAGUGAGUGAGUUUUUCUUACUAAUCAAUUUAGUUGCAAUUUUCACAAAACUUCUGUUUCUAUUUACUGUCUCUUGUAUUGCGAUUUUUUUAUUUAAUUUGCAUUAUGAGGUAAAAUUAUUUUCUUCAUUUAUCACAUGUUGUUUCCUUUAAUUUGUUGUUCGGUUGAUUUAAUUUAGUAACUCUUUCAGACUCGGUAAAAAGCUCAAUCGUCUAGAAGAAUUGAAUGGUAAUCGGGUUGUGAAGUGAAUAUCGAUGAGAGUUUGAAAUUGUACAUUUUCUUUAUUUCUUAUUUUUUAUGAUAAAGAUUGCAAUAAUAACGUUGUAUUCUUAAUUAAUUUUUAUAUAUUCUCUCUAUAUUUUUAUUCUAUUUUGUGUUUUAUAUGAAUUUCUAAUUGGUGUAAAUUCAUAAUUUCUUUUGAUUCAAAAUAGUGUCUCUGAAUUUAUUCAAAAUAUGUCAACCAUAGUCUUUUGAAAAAAAAAAAAAACUCAUUGUAUAUUAAAAAAUAUUUUAUGUAACUGAAAAAAAAAUGAAUGAAAAUACUAAAGAUGAUAAUUAGCCUCUUGAAUAUGAAGAGGAAAGAAAUGACAAAUAUUAAUUGUAAUAAAUUCAUCAAUCAAAUACUAGCAUAUAAAUACAUUAUGGUAAAGAAAAAUUGUGAAAAUUAUGAGAUAAAUAUUUGAUUGUUGUGAACUUUUGCUACUAUCUAUUGUCUCUAGUAUUUUGAUUAUUUUAUUGAAUUUGUAAUAUCAGGUACAAUCAUUUUCUUUUGUCACAUGUUGUUUCCUUUAAUUUGUUAUUCAGGUGAUUUAAUUUAGUAGUUUUUUCAGACUCGGUAAAAUGCUAAAUCUUCUGAAAGACUUGAAUGGUAAUUGGCUUGUGUAGUGAAUGUUGACGAGAGUUUGAAAGAUUGUACAUUUUUUCAUAUAUUUUUUUAUUUUUUAGUGAUAAAAUUACAAUAAUGACUUGUAUUCUUAAUUAUUUUUUAUGUAUUCUCUCUAUGUUUUUAUUUUUAUUUUAUAUUUUAUAUGAAUUUCUAAUUGGUGUAAAUUCAUAAUUUCUUUUGGUUCAAAAUAGUAUCUCUGACUUUAUUCAAAAUAUGCCGACCAUAGUCUUUUGAAAAAAAGAAAAGUUCAUUGUAUCUUAACGAUAUCUUAUGUAACUGGACAAAAAAAACUAAUGACAACAUUGAAGAGGAAAUAAAUGAGAAAUAUUAAUUGUAAUAAAUUCAUCAAUCAAACACUAAACAUAUAAAUACAUUAUGUUAAAGAAGAAUUGUGAAAAUUAUGAGAUAAAAGCUUUUUGUAGUUUUCUUAGACUUUUUAAUUCAUUCUUCAAGCAAAAAAUAAAUUAAUUAUUCAUUAUUUUUAUUUACACACAUUCUUUUUCUACUAAUACUCAUUAAUUCAAUCUAUUUAAUGCUGUUGUAAAUAGGAACAUUAUUUCAUUUCAGCUACACAUCUUUCACCUCCCAUAUUUUUUGAUAUUUUCAUAAAUACAUGUUUAUUGUUUUACUAUAAAUACCAACUGAGAUGUUGGCAUGACAACUAGCUUUGUAUUCUUCAUGUCAUGCGAUGAUCGCAAUUAGUUUUGUAUUCUUCAUGUCAUCCGCUGAUAUGCUACUUUGCGUUCAAUUUUUGAUGUCUCUUUGGUGAGAUUUUUUUUCUUUAUCAUUUUCUCCUAAUUUCUUUUAUUUAUUUUUUCUUUAGAAGUGAGUGAUUUUUUCUUACUAAUCAAUUUAGUUGCAAUUUUCUCAAAACUUCUGCUUCUAUCUAUUGUCUCUUGUAUUUCGAUUAUUUUAUUGAAUUUGCAAUAUGAGGUAAAUCUUUUUUUUUUUUAAUCACGUGUUGUUUCCUUUAAUUUGUUAUUGAGUUGAUUUAAUUUAGUAACUUUUUGAGACUCGGUAAAAUGCUCAAUCGUCUAGAAGAAUUGAAUGGUAAUCGGCUUGUGAAGUGAAUGUCGGCGAGAGUUUGAAAGAUUGUACAUUUUCUUCAUUUUUUUUAUUUUUUAAUGAUAAAGAUUGCAAUAAUAACGUUGUAUUAUUAAUUAAUUUUUAUAUGUUCUCUCUAUAUUUUUAUUUUAUUUUGUGUUUUAUAUGAAUUUUUAAUUGGUGUAAAUUCAUAAUUUUUUUUGGUUCAAAAUAGUGUCUCUUUAUUUAUUCAAAAUAUGCCAACCAUAGUUUUUGAAAAAAAAAAAACUACAUUUUAUGUAACUGAAAAAAAUAAAAUUAUUAAAGAUGAUAAUCAACCCCUUGAAUAUGAAGAGGAGAGAAAUGACAAAUAUUAAUUGUAAUAAAUUCAUCAAUCAAAUACUAGACAUAUAAAUACAUUAUGGGUUGGAAAAUUGGGAAAAAAUUUGAGAGAAAAACCAAGAAAGAGAGAGGAGGAAGAAAGAAAAAGAAAGAAAAUUCCUAAGAGGUUCAAUCUUUCAAUAGAAAUUCUGUUGAUUUUUUUAGAGAAUUCGUCAGCUAGGAAAGAGGCUCUGAGUUGACGACAAUAUUUUCUGGUGGUCAAAAUCCUAUCAUCAACUCGUCGUCCCAUUUUGCUGCCCAAAAAUCGGUUAGUGCUCGAUUCUUUCUUUGUUGCCGUGUUAUAAUGGUCGUAGCAGUAGAGUUUUGGUUUUGAUUAUUGCGUUGUAUGUUGUUUCUUUCUGUAGUGGCCUUAAAAGGCCAUAGACUUGAUGAUGUUCGAAUAACGUUACAGUACUACGUUGAUCAACUAUUUGAGCCCCAUUUGUUCAUUUGUGGGUAUGGCUUCAUAUUUCUGUAAGAGUGUAAGAGUGAGGGAUGUUGUUGUAUUUAGAAUUUUCUUUAUUAGUGUAAAAAUAUUGUUUGUUUUGAUCCAUCUCUGCUCGAGGUUGGUCGAUUUGAAUCUUUGUUCCCUUUUGUGAAAUGGUCCAAGUGGUGUUAUUCUUAUUCUCAGGAAUUUCCACUAAUUCAUCCUUUUGUCUUCGAAAGACACUCAAAAGGGUUUAUAAUCAAAACUAAAAAUCAUUUUUUUUUAUUUAUCUCCUGGUGAGUUAAACUUUUUUUUUUGUGGAUUGCUUCAAAUAUUAAUGUUUUUGUUCCUGAAAGUUUCCACUGGUUCAUCCUUUUGGCUUCGAAAGAGACUCGAAAGGGGUUGGAAUCAAGACUAAAUUUUUUUUUUAUUUAUCUCCUGGUGAUUUAAACUUUUUUGGUUGAUUGGUUCAAAUAUUAAUGUUCUUGUUCCUGAAAAUUUUCACUAGUUCAUCCUUUUGGGUUGGAAAGAGACCCGAAAGGGGUUGGAAUCAAGAUUAAAAUUAAUUUUUGAUCCAUCUUCGCACGAUUUGAAUCCUUUAAUGAAUUGGUUAAAACAUCAAUUUUAUAAAUUUGAAAGCUCUCACCGAUUCACCUUUUCAGUCUUAAAAAAACUUAAAGGGGUUAGAAAAACUUAAAGGGGUUAGAAUUGAGAUUAAAUCUACCUGUCUGACUCGUUUUAUUGGAUCUUUUUCCUAUUUCUUUUAAGAUAUCUGAUAGAUAACAUGUGCAUUCUGAUAAGUUUAUAAUGUUCAGUUUAUCAUUAUAUAAAUGAUGUCAUUCAUUUUGAAUCAUAAGUCGUAACGUAUAUUGGCGCAAAUGAAAUUUAUUUUACUUUAAUGCUUCUGUAAGGAAAAUGGCCUUGAUGAAUUACUUCUUCACAAUAUUAUUUGAAUCCAUAUCUUGGGUGUAGUUUUCUAGGAGAACAUGCUAUAGUUAUUCUUUAGCUACUGCUGAAAGUUCUUUCUUGUUGUUUUCAUUAUGUUCCCGCAACAGGUGAGACAUGCAUUCGGGGUUAUAAUCAUUGCCUAAUACAUAGCAAUGGGGGACAUACUUUCUUUCUUUUUUAGUAUUUGGUAUUUAGGAGGUACUUAAAGAAGCGGAUUUAUGUUAUAAGGUUAAUCAGAAUCUACAAGGUUAUGUCUUUUAGUGUGUUAUUUGGAGUAUCCUGUUCAUGGUAUUAUUAGACUUAUCACUUGUUGUUGUAUUGCUUGAAAUUUCCAUUGUACCAUUAAUUUCUUUAACAUGUUAAUCCCUAAUUCGGAAUACUUAUUAACUCCUUCCUUGUUUUUUUUCCUUUUUCCUUUGCAUGCACCCACUUCGGAGUCUAGGAGUCUAAACGGACUCCUUCUCUCUUUGCAUUUCGUGAAUGGGCCAACAAGGCCUCUCCUCUGAGUCGAACCCUAAAUAAUGACUAAAAUGAAUUGCAUGGCGCACGGAUAUAAGGAGUUGAAAGGAGAAGAAUGAGUUAAAGUUCCCUCGAAACGUCUAAGAGACUUGAACGUCUCUUUGGUUUAUUUAUUCAUUCUGUGGUUGUAUUUAUUUAUUUAGUUUAUUAUUCAUUAGUUUGGGCCACGAAGCUAAGGUUGUAUUUAGUACAAGUGGAGCGAGACUCGAGUCAAAUGCUCAAAAGUUAGAUUAGCACAAGUGAAAUGAGUCGAAGGCCCAAUUAGACUAGGACAGGUCUUAUUGAUUUGGGCCCAAUGGCCUGAAUCCUUUACUUCCUCCCCUUCCCUUUUUUCUUAAAAAAAAAAAAUACAUUAUGGUAAAGAAGAAUAGUGCAAAUUAUGAGAUAAAUAUCUGAUUAUUGUGAACUUCUGCUACUAUUUAUUGUCUUGUAUUUUGAUUAUUUUACAGGAUUUGCAAUAUGCAAUAAAAUCAUUUACUUCUUUUAUCACAUGUUGUUUCCUUUAAUUUGUUAUUCAGGUGAUUUAAUUUAGUAGCUUUUUCAGACUAGAAGAAUUGAACGGUAAUCGAUUUGUGAAGUGAAUGUCGACGAGAGUUUGAAAGAUUUUACAUUUUCUUUAUUUUUUUUAAUGAUAAAAAUUACAAUAAUGACGUUGUAUUCUUAAUUAGUUUUUAUAUAUUCUCUCAAUGCUUUUAUUUUUAUUUUGUAUUUUAUAUGAAUUUUUGAUUGGAACAAAUUCAUAAUUUCUUUUGGUUCAAAAUAGUAUCUCUGGCUUUAUUCAAAAUAUGUCAACCAUAGUCUUUUGAAAAAAAAAAAGUUCAUUGUAUCUUAAAGAUUCUUAUGUAACUGGAAAAAAAAUUAAUGACAACAUUAAAGAGGAAAGAAACGAAAAAUAUUAAUUGUAAUAAAUUCAUCAAUCAAACACUAAAAUUGUGAAAAUUACGAGAUAAAAUUUUUUUGUAGCUUUUUUGAACUUUAUAAUUCAUUUUGCAAACUAAAAAAAAUUAAUUAUUCAUUAUUUUUAUUUACCCACAUUCCUUUCCCACUAAUACUCAUUAAUUCAAUCUAUUUAAUACUGAUGUAAAUAGGGACAUUAUUUUAUUUCAGUUUCACAUCUUUCACCUCCCAUAUUUUUCAAUAUUUUCAUAAAUACAUGUUUAUCGUUUUACUAUAAAUACCAACAGAGAUGUUGGCAUGACAACCAGUUUUGUAUUCUUCAUGUCAUGCGAUGAUCACAACCAGUCUUGUAUUCUUCGUGUCAUGCGAUGAUAUGCUAAUGUGCGUUCAAUUUUUUGUGUCUCUUUGGUGAGACUUUUUUUCUUUACCAUUUUCUCCUAAAUUUUUUUUAAAAAUUCUUUAGAAGUGAUCAAGUGAGUUUUUCUUACUAAUCAACUUAGUUGCAAUUUUCACAAAAUUUCUGCUUCUAUCUAUUGUCUCUUGUAUUUCGAUUGUUUUAUUGAAUUUGCAAUAUGAGGUAAAAAAAAAAUUAUUACAUGUUAUUUUCUUUAAUUUGUUGUUCAAUUGAUUUAAUUUAGUAACUUUUUCAGACUCGGUAAAAUGCUCAAUCGUCUAGAAAAAUUGAAUAGUAAUCAGGUUGUGAAGUGAAUGUCGGCGAGAGUUUGAAAGAUUGUACAUUUUCUUCAUUUUUUUAUUUUUUAAUGAUAAAGAUUACAAUAACAACGUUGUAUUUUUAAUUAAUUUUUAUAUAUUCUCUCUAUGUUUUUAUUUUAUUUCAUGUUUUAUAUGAGUUUCUAAUUGGUGUAAAUUCAUAAUUUCUUUUGGUUCAAAAUUAUGUCGCUGACUUUAGUCAAAAUAUGCCAACCAUAGUCUUUUGGAAAAAAAAGUUCAUUGUAUCUUAAAGACAUUUUAUGUAACUGAAAAAAAUUAAUGAAAAUAUUAAAGAUGACAAUUAACCUCUUAAAUAUGAAGAGGAAAGAAAUAACAAUUAUUAAUUGUAAUAAAUUUAUCAAUCAAAUACUAUACAUAUAAAUACAUUAUGGUAAAGAAGAAUUGUGAAAAUUAUGAGAUAAACAUCUGAUUGUUGUGAACUUCUGCUUUUAUCUAUUGUCUCUCGUAUUUUGAUUAUUUUAUUGGAUUUGUAAUAUGAGGUAAAAUCAUUGCUGAGGAGAUGGAGCUGGUGCGCGAAGCUAUGAGGGAUGCUGGGAGUGCGAUCUAGUAAGAGUAAAUUAGUUACAAUAUAUUAAUUAGCGAUUGUAAGUUAUGCCGUUAGUAAAUUCUACAUAAUUAAUAGUAUUAGGUUUGUAGCUGAUGAGGAGGUUGGUUUAAUUUAUUUUUUUUUUUUUAAAAAAAAAAUAUAUAUAUAUAUAUAUAUAUAACUAAUACGUACGUAUAUAAGUUAUGAGCAGAAUAGUACUUGGAGCCCUGUAAGCCAUUGUUUAGGAGAUCUAUCUUGAGGAACUUACAAAGUGAUUUCUACAUUCUCUUCCAUGGCACUUGGUAUUGGACUACUAUUGGCAUUUUCCAUGGCCAAAUUGAAUAUAACUUCUUGAAGACUCACUAUUUGGUUGUCUUUUAGCUUUAUUUCUAUAAUUCUUAGUUUUGCAGUUCAUUAUUGGUGAUGGAAAUAACGUUUAUGAUUUCCCUAUAAAGAAAUGUGCUUGUUCCAAGCUGGUUAAUUUGUCUUUGAUAUGAUGAUACCUGUACUGUACAAUUCACCUACCUACCCUUUUGUUUCCUCUAAUCAUCUCUGUGUUUUUUCUCAUGCCAAUAUUUUUUGUCUGGUACGUUUAGCCUUUGUUGUAUUACCAAUAUUGUUUGUUUAGUACAUUGCGGAAGAGUACUAACUACAACUUGUGAAAACCUUUGACAGCUAGCUACAUGAACAAGAAGAGCAUCUUAAAUUUGAAAAAUAUAGAAGUGUUGACCGUAAACUUCCGUUGUAAUUAUGUUGAUGAAACACACAACAAUUACAAAAGUAUUCCUACCUUUGUUUCGUAAGUUUCAAAAGUAUUCCUUUAUUUCGUAAAAUCCCUCUCUCUUCAAUCAAACACCACAAAAGACUUGGAAAUGACAUCCAAUUACUCCAAAACUUGGAAUUAAUUAGGCAAUGAACUCAACGAGUUCCUCAUUGCGUUCAAAUUCAGACAUUUGUUGCUUGUGCAACAUCACCCGCGCCUCCACGCCUUGCCCAGCUUUGUAAUCUUUCAAGAAGAAGGCAUUCUUGGAGGGACCAUUUCCUAGACACACCCUUUCAGGUCUUCCCCAUCCAAAAUCUACAGUGUAGUAUGGAUAUUUGCAAAGAUUGCUGCAAGUAUACACAUUCUUAUAGCCAUCCAUAUUUUCAAAUGGCAGUUUCCCUUCUCUCAUUGAUUCUACUACUUCUAGGAUCAGUUCAUUUUGUUCGACUUGGUCUUUCUUGUAUGCCACCUCAACUUCCUUCCUUAAAUUACGAACCAACGUUGGCAACUCCAUGUCCUGCAUGUUAGUUGCUUCUAUGGAGAAAAUAGACGAGAGAUUUCCAAUGGCAUUUCGUGGUAGACGAGGUUUGAUCAUAGUACGUAUGUUUAAGAAGUGAACCAACUUUGAUGGUAGCAUUGAUGAUGAUGCCUUUGUUGCACAUUUGAAAAGAAGAGCGCUAACAACUUCAGCCCUUGUUGGAUUUUUUACUCCUGAUUCUUCUGCCACCUUCAAUCCCAAAUUAAUGUCAACCAAACUAAAUUUAUUUUAAAAUAAUUAUUCAGUACUUUUCAUUUCAGAAAAACUACAAGUAUUUAUUACUGCAUUCUUUUAUAUUUUCCACUUUACUGUUCGAUAAUUAAGUGGAGUGUUAUUAAGUAAAUGACAUGUCCAAGAGUAGUUUUUGACACCAAUAAGUGGAAUGCUAUUAACUAAGUGAGGCGUUUAAG